UAUCGGUCCAACUAAGGAUUUCUGUGAAAAACUCCUCAUAAGUUAUGUUUGCCUUGACCUGUAUCUCUUGGUGAGGAAUAAUGUGAGAAGUGUAAAGGUACUUGUGACAUCCCAAAUACUAAUUAAGGCAUAAGGGUUCCAGAUACAGAAAUAGAUUACGAGCGCAUAAUAGAUAAAUAAAUACAACAGAACAAAAAAACUUGCAAAUCU
RNAcentral lists this long non-coding RNA (210 nucleotides) under Carica papaya (papaya). Its description in RNAcentral is "long non-coding RNA (CPAP_LNC013641)". Lineage: Eukaryota; Viridiplantae; Streptophyta; Magnoliopsida; Brassicales; Caricaceae. The record is from RNAcentral.